RNAcentral lists this ribosomal RNA (425 nucleotides) under uncultured bacterium. Its description in RNAcentral is "bacterial SSU rRNA". It matches the Rfam family "Bacterial small subunit ribosomal RNA", at positions 355 to 772 of the family's 1533-position model. The record is from RNAcentral.
UGGGGAAUUUUGGACAAUGGGCGCAAGCCUGAUCCAGCCAUGCCGCGUGCAGGAUGAAGGCCUUCGGGUCGUAAACUGCUUUUGUACGGAACGAAAAGACUCCUUCUAAUAAAGGGGGUCCAUGACGGUACCGUAAGAAUAAGCACCGGCUAACCACGUGCCAGCAGCCGCGGUCAUACGUAGGGUGCAAGCGUUAAUCGGAAUUACUGGGCGUAAAGCGUGCGCAGGCGGUUAUGCAAGACAGAGGGGAAAUCCCCGGGCUCAACCUGGGACCUGCAUUUGUGACUGUAUAGCUAGGGUACGGUAGAGGGGGAUGGAAUUCCGCGUGUGGCAGUGAAAUGCGUAGAUAUGCGGAGGAGCACCGAUGGCGAAGGCAAUCCCAUGAACCUGUACUGACGCUCAUGCACGAAGGCGUGGAAGGCAAA